Molecule: RNA transcript, 1564 nt
Organism: Prosopis cineraria
Lineage: Eukaryota; Viridiplantae; Streptophyta; Magnoliopsida; Fabales; Fabaceae
Exons: 3
Source: RefSeq, a predicted model, not a curated record
UCCACACUUAGCCGCAGCCCUGAUUUUUCUGAACCCUAAUAUCCUCAGCUUCAGCCUCUAUGUCCAAUCCACGGCGAGGCGGAGAGCGAGGGAGGGACAUGGCUAAUGCAUAUUGGGAUUCGAGGGGGCUGGAGAUCGUGAAGAAGCAUGAUUCUAGAGGCCUCAUACGGAAGAGAAUGAAGCUCACCUCUACUCGUAAAGCCAAUGCUAAGAAGCUUCUUCAUCGAGUUUGGUAUAUCUAAAUGUGUUUUAAGAUAUAUGCAGCGCCCUCAUAUUUCUAUUAGAGGAUGCCAGAGCAGAAGGUGGAUACAUCUACUGGAGUAAAAGCUGUUCACUGUCCGAGUUAUAUAAUCUUCUCUUCCAAAAGCAUCCUUGCACAGAUAUACAGAGGACACAGGUACAAUAUUUACUGUGCUACUUAUUUAUUUUACUUUUAUGUUUCGGUUGAAUGAGAUCAUUACCUCUAGUCCAAAGAUGGCUCAUAGCAAUAGAUCACCUGAAUUUCCUUGGAUGAAAGAUGGAGUAGGAUUGCCGCCCAAUGCAUCAGAAUUACUUGUCUAGCUGGUAAUGUUUUUGGAAUAUAGAAAUGCAUUAUGAUAGCUUAGACCUCUCGCUUUGAGAAUCAGGACAGGCACAAAAAUGCACUAUCUGAAUUAAUAAAUGUACUCUGGUUCUUUCAGGUUCUGCCUUAUUUGGAUUUUAUUAUUUAAUUUGAUUUUAUCUUUAUCAUCAUUAAAUUAGAACGAUACUCAAGUUAUUCCUGCAUUUCUUAUGUUAGCUUCACAAGCUUGUUUUCCAUAAUUACUUUGAGUUCAGGCAUAAAUCCCAGCGUGCAUUUUAUAUUCUGGAGCAUCAAAUGAUUUGAAUUACUGUUAUUUACAGCUAGUUUUUAUUUUUUGACAAGCUGGUGUUAAUAGUAAAAUUGUAUCAAAAUUUGAGCUCUUAGUUGGAAAGGCUAUAUUCUAAAAACCUUUAAUGAAGCAAUCCCUGUUAUAACCAAUGCAUGGGAUAAUUGCUCAAUCAGGCUAUUAAUUACAGAUUCAAGUAUAAGUCCUGUUGUCAACAAUGAAGUAUAACUUUAUUAUAUACAGAGUAUAUGAGAGAUGAUGAGAUUAGAAUGCAAUUCUUGAUAGAAAUGUUGUAUUUUUACUUUGUUGCCUUAAAACUUUUUUAUUCUAUCAUUUUGACAUUCUAGAUUGGUCAAGUUAAUAAAUAGCUCUAAUUGAAACAAAGCAAAAUAUCUGGAUUGGGUGGUAUUUUGCUUUUAUAGCCUACCUUUUACACUAGGAUAGAGCCAGUAAUUUAAGCUAAGCUCGAUGGGCUAGCUCUAAAAAUUUAGAACUAAGCCCUAAAAAAAAUUAUUUUUUAAUAUUCAAACCUAUUCGGGCAGCUUGAAUAGGCUCGAGCAAAUUUGGGCCAAGUCUGAACCCGAUUGGGCUUGGCCCAAAUACUUGAAUAAAUUUUUUUAAAAAAUGUAUGAAAUAUAUUAAUUAAUUUUUUAAGUUUUAUAUCAUUUUAUAUUGAAAUACUAUGUAUUUGAGUGCAUUACUAUAGUUAUUUUUUA